This 752-nucleotide ribosomal RNA is filed under the name uncultured Chloroflexota bacterium. Its description in RNAcentral is "bacterial SSU rRNA". It matches the Rfam family "Bacterial small subunit ribosomal RNA", at positions 8 to 796 of the family's 1533-position model. Lineage: Bacteria; Bacillati; Chloroflexota. The record is from RNAcentral.
AGAGUUUGAUCCUGGCUCAGGAUCAACGCUGGCGGCGUGCCUAAUGCAUGCAAGUCGCACGGCGGUCCUUCGGGAUUGCAGUGGCGAACGGCUGAGGAACACGUACGAACCUACCCGCUCGUGGGGAAUAACGCGCCGAAAGGSGUGCUAAUACCGCGUACGCUUGGGCAACCAAGGAAAGCCUUCGGGCGCGGGCGGUGGGGCGUGCGGCCCAUCAGGUAGUUGGCGGGGUAAUGGCCCACCAAGCCGGUGACGGGUCGCUGGUCUGUGAGGAUGACCCGCCAGACUGGGACGGAGGAACGGCCCAGACACCUACGGGUGGCAGCAGUUGGGAAUUUUGCGCAAUGCUCGAAAGAGUGACGCAGCAACGCCGCGUGGAGGACGACGCCUCAUGGGGUGUAAACUCCUUUUGUCAGGGACGAUAAUGACGGUACCUGGCGAACAAGCCUCGGCUAACUACGUGCCAGCAGCCGCGGUAAUACGUAGGAGGCGAGCGUUGUCCGGAUUUACUGGGCGUAAAGGGUCUGUAGGCGGUCUGGUAAGCGUGCCGUGAAAGCUCCCGGCUCAACUGGGAGAGGUCGGUGCGAACUGCUAGACUGGAGGGUCGGCGAGGCAGACGGAAUUCCUGGUGGAGCGGUAACAUGCGUAGAGAUCAGGAGGAACACCGGUGGCGAAAGCGGUCUGCUGGACGACACCUGACGCUGAGGGACGAAAGCGUGGGGAGCGAACAGAAUUAGAUACCCCCGUAGUCC